UAUAACCAAGUCUUAUGCAUAUCAUAUCAUCUUAUAUAAUCAAGUAUCCAUGCUUAACAAUUUGAUCACUUACAUAUAUAUAUUCAUAUCUAUACCAACUAUACCAACUCAAGCCAUGUUAUAAUUUGCCUAGUAGUUAUCCAUCAAUCAAUUAUACCAAAACAUAUAUCAACCAUGAUAAGGCCAUAUACUUAUAUAUAUCAAAAUGUAUCAAACAUAAGCCAUUCAAAUGACUAAUCACAACAAAACAUUUACAUGCC
This 260-nucleotide long non-coding RNA is filed under the name Gossypium barbadense (sea-island cotton). Its description in RNAcentral is "long non-coding RNA (GBAR_LNC013733)". The record is from RNAcentral. Lineage: Eukaryota; Viridiplantae; Streptophyta; Magnoliopsida; Malvales; Malvaceae.